ACAAGUACCGUGAGGGAAAGGUGAAAAGUACCCCGGGAGGGGAGUGAAAUAGUACCUGAAACCGUUUGCUUACAAACCGUCGGAGCCUCCUUGUAGGGGUGACGGCGUGCCUUUUGAAGAAUGAGCCUGCGAGUUAGUGAUAUGUGGCGAGGUUAACCCGUGUGGGGCAGCCGUAGCGAAAGCGAGUCUGAAUAGGGCGAUUUCAGUCGCAUGUCCUAGACCCGAAGCGAAGUGAUCUAUCCAUGGCCAGGUUGAAGCGACGGUAAGACGUCGUGGAGGACCGAACCCACUUCAGUUGAAAAUGGAGGGGAUGAGCUGUGGAUAGGGGUGAAAGGCCAAUCAAACUUCGUGAUAGCUGGUUCUCUCCGAAAUGCAUUUAGGUGCAGCGUUGCGUGUUUCUCGCCGGAGGUAGAGCUACUGGAUGGCCGAUGGGCCUCAACAGGUUACUGACGUCAGCCAAACUCCGAAUGCCGGUGAGUGAGAGCGCAGCAGUGAGACGGUGGGGGAUAAGCUUCAUCGUCGAGAGGGAAACAACCCAGACUACCAACUAAGGCCCCUAAGCGUGUGCUAAGUGGGAAAGGAUGUGGAGUUGCAUAGACAACCAGGAGGUUGGCUUAGAAGCAGCCACCCUUGAAAGAGUGCGUAAUAGCUCACUGGUCAAGUGAUUCCGCGCCGACAAUGUAACGGGGCUCAAGCACACCGCCGAAGUUGUAGAUUUCGCACACUCGAUAAGCCUUCGUGGUUCAGUCGUGCGGAGUGGUAGGAGAGCGUCGUGUGGCGAGUGAAGCGGCGGAGUGAUCCAGCCGUGGACGCUACACGAGUGAGAAUGCAGGCAUGAGUAGCGAAAGACGGGUGAGAAACCCGUCCUCCGAAAGACCAAGGGUUCCAGGGCCAGGUUAAUCCGCCCUGGGUAAGUCGGGACCUAAGGCGAGGCCGACAGGCGUAGUCGAUGGACAACGGGUUGAUAUUCCCGUACCGGCGAACAACCGCCCAAGCUAAUCCAGUGGUGCUAAGAGUCCUAACCCGGUUCCAGCGGAUCCCUUCGGGGUGAUGCGGUCCGGUCUAACGCUCGACCCCAUGCUGGUGCGGUUAGCGUAUGAACAGGUGUGACGCAGGAAGGUAGCUGAGCCAGGCGAUGGUAUCCGUAAGGUGAACCUGGUGUAAGGAUGUAGGGCUGACGAUAGGCAAAUCCGUCGUCUGUAUGCCUGAGAUCCGACGCGUACCCGUAAGGGGAAAUCAGUGAUCCUAUGCUGCCGAGAAAAGCAUCGACGCGAGGUUGCAGCCGCCCGUACCCGAAACCGACUCAGGUGGUCAGGUAGAGAAUACCAAGGAGAUCGAGAGAAUCGUGGUUAAGGAACUCGGCAAAAUGCCCCCGUAACUUCGGGAGAAGGGGGGCCGGACACGUGACCGGAUUUACUCCGUGAGCGUUGAAGGCCGCAGAGACCAGUGGGAAGCGACUGUUUACUAAAAACACAGGUCCGUGCGAAGUCGCAAGACGAUGUAUACGGACUGACGCCUGCCCGGUGCUGGAAGGUUAAGAGGAGGGGUUAGCCUUUGGGCGAAGCUCUGAAUUUAAGCCCCAGUAAACGGCGGUGGUAACUAUAACCAUCCUAAGGUAGCGAAAUUCCUUGUCGGGUAAGUUCCGACCUGCACGAAUGGCGUAACGACUUCCCAGCUGUCUCAACCGCGAACUCGGCGAAAUUGCACUACGAGUAAAGAUGCUCGUUACGCGCAGCAGGACGGAAAGACCCCGUGACCUUUACUACAGUUUGGUAUUGGUGUUCGGUGUGGCUUGUGUAGGAUAGGUGGGAGACUGUGAAGCGGGCACGCUAGUGUUCGUGGAGUCAUUGUUGAAAUACCACUCUGGUCACUCUGGAUGUCUAACGUAGGACCCUGAUCGGGUUCAUGGACAGUGCCUGAUGGGUAGUUUAACUGGGGCGGUUGCCUCCCAAAGAGUAACGGAGGCGCCCAAAGGUUCCCUCAACCUGGUUGGCAAUCAGGUGGCGAGUGUAAGUGCACAAGGGAGCUUGACUGUGAGACUGACAGGUCGAGCAGGGACGAAAGUCGGGACUAGUGAUCCGGCAGUGGCUUGUGGAAGCGCUGUCGCUCAACGGAUAAAAGGUACCUCGGGGAUAACAGGCUGAUCUUGCCCAAGAGUCCAUAUCGACGGCAUGGUUUGGCACCUCGAUGUCGGCUCGUCGCAUCCUGGGGCUGGAGUAGGUCCCAAGGGUUGGGCUGUUCGCCCAUUAAAGCGGUACGCGAGCUGGGUUUAGAACGUCGUGAGACAGUUCGGUCCCUAUCCGCUGCGCGCGUUGGAAAUUUGAGAAGAUCUAUCCCUAGUACGAGAGGACCGGGAUGGACGAACCUCUGGUGUGUCAGUUGUUCUGCCAAGGGCACCGCUGAUUAGCUACGUUCGGACCGGAUAACCGCUGAAAGCAUCUAAGCGGGAAGCCGUCUUCGAGAUGAGAUUUCCAUGCACCUUGAGUGUGAGAGGCUCCCAGCAGACUACUGGGUUGAUAGGCCGGAUGUGGAAGCGGGGACUAACGACCCGUGGAGCUGACCGGUACUAAUAAGCCGAAGACUUGACAA
Molecule: ribosomal RNA, 2589 nt
Filed under: Curtobacterium sp. UNCCL20
Lineage: Bacteria; Bacillati; Actinomycetota; Actinomycetes; Micrococcales; Microbacteriaceae
Description: bacterial LSU rRNA
Rfam family: Bacterial large subunit ribosomal RNA
Source: RNAcentral